AGGGUUCGAUUCUGGCUCAGGAUGAACGCUAGCUACAGGCUUAACACAUGCAAGUCGAGGGGCAGCAUGAUCGAAGCUUGCUUUGAUUGAUGGCGACCGGCGCACGGGUGAGUAACGCGUAUCCAACCUUCCCUGUAGUAGAGAAUAGCCCGGCGAAAGUCGGAUUAAUACUCUAUGUUGUAUUUCGAAGACAUCUGAAGAAUACCAAAGGUUUACCGCUAUAGGAUGGGGAUGCGUCUGAUUAGGUUGUUGGCGGGGUAACGGCCCACCAAGCCCACGAUCAGUAGGGGUUCUGAGAGGAAGGUCCCCCACAUUGGAACUGAGACACGGUCCAAACUCCUACGGGAGGCAGCAGUGAGGAAUAUUGGUCAAUGGACGGAAGUCUGAACCAGCCAAGUAGCCGUGCAGGAUGACGGCCCUAUGGGUUGUAAACUGCUUUUAUAUAGGGAUAAAGUCGGGGACGUGUCCCCGUUUGUAGGUACUAUAUGAAUAAGGACCGGCUAAUUCCGUGCCAGCCGCUGC
Molecule: ribosomal RNA, 522 nt
Filed under: uncultured bacterium
Lineage: Bacteria
Description: bacterial SSU rRNA
Rfam family: Bacterial small subunit ribosomal RNA
Source: RNAcentral